UUAUAUGGAGAGUUUGAUCCUGGCUCAGGACGAACGCUGGCGGCGUGCCUAAUACAUGCAAGUCGAGCGGACGGAUGGGAGCUUGCUCCCAGACCGUCAGCGGCGGACGGGUGAGUAACACGUGGGCAACCUGCCUGUAAGACUGGGAUAACUCCGGGAAACCGGGGCUAAUACCGGAUAACUCUUUUCCCCACAUGAGGAAAAGCUGAAAGAUGGCAUCUCGCUAUCACUUACAGAUGGGCCCGCGGCGCAUUAGCUAGUUGGUGAGGUAACG
RNAcentral lists this ribosomal RNA (274 nucleotides) under Cytobacillus firmus. RNAcentral describes it as "partial 16S ribosomal RNA". It matches the Rfam family "Bacterial small subunit ribosomal RNA", at positions 1 to 262 of the family's 1533-position model. The record is from RNAcentral. Lineage: Bacteria; Bacillati; Bacillota; Bacilli; Caryophanales; Bacillaceae.